RNAcentral lists this transfer RNA (60 nucleotides) under Sphingomonas sp. R1F5B. Its description in RNAcentral is "tRNA-Ser". The record is from RNAcentral. Lineage: Bacteria; Pseudomonadati; Pseudomonadota; Alphaproteobacteria; Sphingomonadales; Sphingomonadaceae.
GAGGCCGGUUCAAUCCGGUUUUUGGUACCGGCAUUCGCAGGUUCGAAUCCUGCCGCCCCA